Molecule: ribosomal RNA, 1235 nt
Filed under: metagenome
Description: bacterial LSU rRNA
Rfam family: Bacterial large subunit ribosomal RNA
Source: RNAcentral
UGAAUACGAGAUGCUACGGCGUCGAAGCAGUCUAUGUCAUACUUCCAAGAAAAGCUUGCACUGUCAUAAACAAAUAAUGCCUGUACCAUAACCGACACAGGUGGGUAGGUAGAGUAUACUAAGGGGCGCGAGAUAACUCUCUCUAAGGAACUCGGCAAAAUGACUCCGUAACUUCGGGAGAAGGAGUGCCUUAUUUAUAAGGUUGCAAUAACAAGAUCCAAGCAACUGUUUACCAAAAACACAGGUCUCCGCUAAGUCGUAAGACGAUGUAUGGGGGCUGACGCCUGCCCAGUGCCAGAAGGUUAAAGAAGUUGGUUAGCAUCCGCGAAGCUGAUAACUGAAGCCCUGGUGAACGGCGGCCGUAACAAUAACGGUCCUAAGGUAGCGAAAUUCCUUGUCGGGUAAGUUCCGACCCGCACGAAAGGCGUAAUGAUUUGGAUACUGUCUCGGAGAGGGGCUCGGUGAAAUAGACUUGUCUGUGAAGAUGCGGACUACCUGCACCAGGACAGAAAGACCCUAUGAAGCUUUACUGUAACCUGAAAUUGAAAUUGGACUUUACUUGCGCAGUAUAGGUGGGAGGCGUUGAGAAUACUCUUGCGGGAUUAUUGGAGCCAUCAGUGAGAUACCACUCUUGUAAUGUUAGAUUUCUAACUUUGUAUCAUUAUCUGGUCAAAGAACAGUUUCAGGCGGGCAGUUUGACUGGGGCGGUCGCCUCCUAAACGGUAACGGAGGCGCACAAAGGUUUCCUCUGAACGGGUAGAAAUCGUAUCUAGAGUGUAAAGGCAUAAGGAAGCUUGACUGUGAGACCUACAAGUCGAGCAGGGACGAAAGUCGGUCUUAGUGAUCUGACGGUGCUGAGUGGAAAGGCCGUCACUCAACGGAUAAAAGUUACUCUAAGGAUAACAGGCUGAUCUCCCCCAAGAGUUCACAUCGACGGGGAGGUUUGGCACCUCGAUGUCGGCUCAUCGCAUCCUGGGGCGGUAGUACGUCCCAAGGGUUGGGCUGUUCGCCCAUGAAAGCGGUACGCGAGCCGGGUUCAGAACGUCGUGAGACAGUUCGGUCCAUAUCCGGUGUAGGCGUUAGAAUAUUGAGAGGAGCCUUCUUUAGUACGAGAGGACCGAGAAGGACAUACCUCUGGUGUACCAGUUAUCGUGCCAACGGUAAACGCUGGGUAGCUAUGUGUGGAGUGGAUAACCGCUGAAAGCAUCUAAGUGGGAAGCCCACCUCAAGAUAAG